This 468-nucleotide ribosomal RNA is filed under the name uncultured bacterium. RNAcentral's name for it is "partial 16S ribosomal RNA". It matches the Rfam family "Bacterial small subunit ribosomal RNA", at positions 28 to 508 of the family's 1533-position model. The record is from RNAcentral.
GACGAACGCUGGCGGCGUGCUUAACACAUGCAAGUCGAACGGAAAGGCCCUGCUUUUGUGGGGUGCUCGAGUGGCGAACGGGUGAGUAACACGUGAGUAACCUGCCCUUGACUUUGGGAUAACUUCAGGAAACUGGGGCUAAUACCGGAUAGGAGCUCCUGCUGCAUGGUGGGGGUUGGAAAGUUUCGGCGGUUGGGGAUGGACUCGCGGCUUAUCAGCUUGUUGGUGGGGUAGUGGCUUACCAAGGCUUUGACGGGUAGCCGGCCUGAGAGGGUGACCGGCAAGAUGGGGAAGGAGAUCGGGCCAAGCCCCAUGGGGGAGGCAGGAGGGGGAAAUUUUGAAAAUGGGGCGGAGGCCUGAGGCAGCAGCGCCGGGUGGGGGAUGAGGGCCUUGGGUUUGAAACCCGUUUCCGCCUGUGACGAAGGGGGAGGGGGGGUAGGGGAUAAAGAAGCCCGGACAAGCUAGUGC